CAGUCAUGCUUGCAAGUAAUCAGCUUAAAGUAUUCUUUGAGUGUACUUUCUUGUUUUAGCAAGUUAGCGUCGAUUUUAAUUAUCUUAAAAUAACUAGGGGAAUGUAACGUCCCUCGGGAGCGUUAUAGCCCUUGGUAAGACUGAGAUGAUUUACGAUCGAGGAUUGCAACGAAUGCUCAUUAGGGCUAACAACUUGAUCUCUG
Molecule: ribosomal RNA, 203 nt
Filed under: uncultured Glomeromycotina
Lineage: Eukaryota; Fungi; Glomeromycota
Description: partial large subunit ribosomal RNA
Source: RNAcentral